UUCACAAUUGGGUUCAUUCAAAUUCUCUGAGAUUGCAUCCCCCGAACGAAUUUUACAGUGUCGAAAACAAUUUGCUAUUGUCUCUUGCUGAACAUCCAAGCAGGGAUUGCAAAAUUGAUAGGAUCCAAAACAUUAAUCUUUGUUGGAUCAGUUUCUCCCACUUCAUAGCCUUCAUAUCCUCGAUAAAAUCUGUUACGAUAAUACAUCUUGAAAGCACUUAUUAUCCCAG
This 229-nucleotide long non-coding RNA is filed under the name Solanum tuberosum (potato). RNAcentral describes it as "long non-coding RNA (STUB_LNC010756)". The record is from RNAcentral. Lineage: Eukaryota; Viridiplantae; Streptophyta; Magnoliopsida; Solanales; Solanaceae.